CAGGUCGAACGCGUUGAGCCCAAUUGAUUGAUGGUGCUUGCACCUGAUUGAUUUUGGUCGCCAACGAGUGGCGGACGGGUGAGUAACACGUAGGUAACCUGCCCAGAAGCGGGGGACAACAUUUGGAAACAGAUGCUAAUACCGCAUAACAGCGUUGUUCGCAUGAACAACGCUUAAAAGAUGGCUUCUCGCUAUCACUUCUGGAUGGACCUGCGGUGCAUUAGCUUGUUGGUGGGGUAAUGGCCUACCAAGGCGAUGAUGCAUAGCCGAGUUGAGAGACUGAUCGGCCACAAUGGGACUGAGACACGGCCCAUACUCCUACGGGAGGCAGCAGUAGGGAAUCUUCCACAAUGGGCGCAAGCCUGAUGGAGCAACACCGCGUGAGUGAAGAAGGGUUUCGGCUCGUAAAGCUCUGUUGUUAAAGAAGAACACGUAUGAGAGUAACUGUUCAUACGUUGACGGUAUUUAACCAGAAAGUCACGGCUAACUACGUGCCAGCAGCCGCGGUAAUACGUAGGUGGCAAGCGUUAUCCGGAUUUAUUGGGCGUAAAGAGAGUGCAGGCGGUUUUCUAAGUCUGAUGUGAAAGCCUUCGGCUUAACCGGAGAAGUGCAUCGGAAACUGGAUAACUUGAGUGCAGAAGAGGGUAGUGGAACUCCAUGUGUAGCGGUGGAAUGCGUAGAUAUAUGGAAGAACACCAGUGGCGAAGGCGGCUACCUGGUCUGCAACUGACGCUGAGACUCGAAAGCAUGGGUAGCGAACAGGAUUAGAUACCCUGGUAGUCCAUGCCGUAAACGAUGAGUGCUAGGUGUUGGAGGGUUUCCGCCCUUCAGUGCCGGAGCUAACGCAUUAAGCACUCCGCCUGGGGAGUACGACCGCAAGGUUGAAACUCAAAGGAAUUGACGGGGGCCCGCACAAGCGGUGGAGCAUGUGGUUUAAUUCGAAGCUACGCGAAGAACCUUACCAGGUCUUGACAUCUUGCGCCAACCCUAGAGAUAGGGCGUUUCCUUCGGGAACGCAAUGACAGGUGGUGCAUGGUCGUCGUCAGCUCGUGUCGUGAGAUGUUGGGUUAAGUCCCGCAACGAGCGCAACCCUUGUUACUAGUUGCCAGCAUUAAGUUGGGCACUCUAGUGAGACUGCCGGUGACAAACCGGAGGAAGGUGGGGACGACGUCAGAUCAUCAUGCCCCUUAUGACCUGGGCUACACACGUGCUACAAUGGACGGUACAACGAGUCGCGAACUCGCGAGGGCAAGCAAAUCUCUUAAAACCGUUCUCAGUUCGGACUGCAGGCUGCAACUCGCCUGCACGAAGUCGGAAUCGCUAGUAAUCGCGGAUCAGCAUGCCGCGGUGAAUACGUUCCCGGGCCUUGUACACACCGCCCGUCACACCAUGAGAGUUUGUAACACCCAAAGUGCGGUGGGGUAGACUCUUUUAGGA
RNAcentral lists this ribosomal RNA (1437 nucleotides) under Limosilactobacillus fermentum. RNAcentral's name for it is "bacterial SSU rRNA". It matches the Rfam family "Bacterial small subunit ribosomal RNA". The record is from RNAcentral. Lineage: Bacteria; Bacillati; Bacillota; Bacilli; Lactobacillales; Lactobacillaceae.